GAUGAAUAACGUAGCGAAAUGCGAUAAGUAGUGUGAAUUGCAGAAUUCAGUGAAUCAUCGAAUCUUUGAACGCACAUUGCGCCCCUUGGUAUCCCGAGGGGCAUGCCUGUUCGAGCGUCAUUUCACCACUCAAGCCUGGCUUGGUGUUGGGCGACGUCCUCUUUGGGGACGCGCCUCGAAACGCUCGGCGGCGUGGCACCGGCUUUAAGCGUAGCAGAAUCUUUCGCUUUGGAAGUCGGGGCCCCGUCUGCCGGAAGACCUGCUCGCAAGGUUGACCUCGGAUCAGGCAGGGAUACCCGCUGAACUUAAGCAUAUCAAUAAGCGAGGA
This 328-nucleotide unclassified non-coding RNA is filed under the name soil metagenome. RNAcentral describes it as "partial contains 5.8S ribosomal RNA, internal transcribed spacer 2, and large subunit ribosomal RNA". The stretch from base 1 to 120 matches the Rfam family "5.8S ribosomal RNA", at positions 35 to 154 of the family's 154-position model. The record is from RNAcentral.